RNAcentral lists this ribosomal RNA (442 nucleotides) under uncultured bacterium. RNAcentral's name for it is "partial 16S ribosomal RNA". It matches the Rfam family "Bacterial small subunit ribosomal RNA", at positions 338 to 795 of the family's 1533-position model. The record is from RNAcentral.
CCUACGGGGGGCAGCAGUGGGGAAUAUUGGGCAAUGGGCGCAAGCCUGACCCAGCAACGCCGCGUGAAGGAAGAAGGCCCUCGGGUUGUAAACUUCUUUUGUCAGGGACGAAGCAAGUGACGGUACCUGACGAAUAAGCCACGGCUAACUACGUGCCAGCAGCCGCGGUAAUACGUAGGUGGCAAGCGUUAUCCGGAUUUAUUGGGUUUAAAGGGUGCGUAGGCGGGACCUUAAGUCAGCGGUAAAAUUGCGGUGCUCAACGCCGUAGAGCCGUUGAAACUGGGGUUCUUGAGUGAGCGAGAAGUAUGCGGAAUGCGUGGUGUAGCGGUGAAAUGCAUAGAUAUCACGCAGAACCCCGAUUGCGAAGGCAGCAUACCGGCGCUCAACUGACGCUGAGGCACGAAAGUGCGGGUAUCGAACAGGAUUAGAUACCCCUGUAGUC